RNAcentral lists this small RNA (796 nucleotides) under Pan troglodytes (chimpanzee). RNAcentral describes it as "retained intron". The record is from RNAcentral. Lineage: Eukaryota; Metazoa; Chordata; Mammalia; Primates; Hominidae.
GUACUGCCAGGUCUGGCAACACUUGGCCAAAGCGGGCAGGUCUGUGUUGAGGUUGCUUUAUGCAGACUAACAAAGGGAUCACUCUGCUGUGUACCUGUCCCUAUUCUAGACCCUGGUGGGCAGCAGUGGGACCAUUCUGACCACAAUGCCUGUAAUGAUGGGGCAAGAGAAAGUGCCCAUUAAGCAGGUACCUGGGGGAGUCAAGCAGCUUGAGCCCCCCAAAGAAGGAGAAAGGCGGACAACCCAUAAUAUCAUUGAGAAACGAUAUCGCUCCUCCAUCAAUGACAAAAUCAUCGAAUUGAAAGACCUGGUCAUGGGGACAGACGCCAAGAUGCACAAGUCUGGCGUUCUGAGGAAGGCCAUUGAUUACAUCAAAUACUUGCAGCAGGUCAAUCAUAAACUGCGCCAGGAGAACAUGGUGCUGAAGCUGGCAAAUCAAAAGAACAAGCUUCUAAAGGGCAUCGACCUAGGCAGUCUGGUGGACAAUGAGGUGGACCUGAAGAUCGAGGACUUUAAUCAGAAUGUCCUUCUGAUGUCCCCCCCAGCCUCUGACUCAGGGUCCCAGGCUGGCUUCUCUCCCUACUCCAUUGACUCUGAGCCAGGAAGCCCUCUGUUGGAUGAUGCAAAGGUCAAAGAUGAGCCAGACUCUCCUCCUGUGGCGCUGGGCAUGGUAGACCGCUCACGGAUUCUUCUGUGUGUCCUCACCUUCCUGUGCCUCUCCUUUAACCCCCUGACUUCCCUGCUGCAGUGGGGAGGGGCCCACGACUCUGACCAGCACCCACACUCAGGCUCUGGC